RNAcentral lists this unclassified non-coding RNA (278 nucleotides) under Hevea brasiliensis (rubber tree). The record is from RNAcentral. Lineage: Eukaryota; Viridiplantae; Streptophyta; Magnoliopsida; Malpighiales; Euphorbiaceae.
GUUGAAGAAAGAUCUUAGUCUAACUGGCCACAGCCGUUCUUCACGCUCCACCAACAGCAUGUGAAUAGGCAAGGAUUAGUUUUUCUAGUUGGUAACUUUUCUGCAUUCAGAGUUUGUGCCUUUUGUAUGCAAGUAAAAAGGAUUCUUCUAUAGCUCAGUGCGUAGAUUUCUUCUGUGUAAUUCCACCUGUUAUCAAAUUUGAAUUCUUCCAUAUGUUUAACUCUUUCUAUUAGUAAGAUCUGCUGAGUGCUUUUUACUUGCAUACAAAAGGCACAAAC